This 20-nucleotide small nuclear RNA is filed under the name Arabidopsis thaliana (thale cress). RNAcentral describes it as "snRNA_02536". The record is from RNAcentral. Lineage: Eukaryota; Viridiplantae; Streptophyta; Magnoliopsida; Brassicales; Brassicaceae.
CGCCCUCGACCUAUUCUCAA